GGAGCUUGCUCCCUGAUGUUAGCGGCGGACGGGUGAGUAACACGUGGGUAACCUGCCUGUAAGACUGGGAUAACUCCGGGAAACCGGGGCUAAUACCGGAUGGUUGUUUGAACCGCAUGGUUCAGACAUAAAAGGUGGCUUCGGCUACCACUUACAGAUGGACCCGCGGCGCAUUAGCUAGUUGGUGAGGUAACGGCUCACCAAGGCGACGAUGCGUAGCCGACCUGAGAGGGUGAUCGGCCACACUGGGACUGAGACACGGCCCAGACUCCUACGGGAGGCAGCAGUAGGGAAUCUUCCGCAAUGGACGAAAGUCUGACGGAGCAACGCCGCGUGAGUGAUGAAGGUUUUCGGAUCGUAAAGCUCUGUUGUUAGGGAAGAACAAGUGCCGUUCAAAUAGGGCGGCACCUUGACGGUACCUAACCAGAAAGCCACGGCUAACUACGUGCCAGCAGCCGCGGUAAUACGUAGGUGGCAAGCGUUGUCCGGAAUUAUUGGGCGUAAAGGGCUCGCAGGCGGUUUCUUAAGUCUGAUGUGAAAGCCCCCGGCUCAACCGGGGAGGGUCAUUGGAAACUGGGGAACUUGAGUGCAGAAGAGGAGAGUGGAAUUCCACGUGUAGCGGUGAAAUGCGUAGAGAUGUGGAGGAACACCAGUGGCGAAGCGACUCUCUGGUCUGUAACUGACGCUGAGGAGCGAAAGCGUGGGGAGCGAACAGGAUUAGAUACCCUGG
RNAcentral lists this ribosomal RNA (730 nucleotides) under Bacillus siamensis. RNAcentral describes it as "bacterial SSU rRNA". It matches the Rfam family "Bacterial small subunit ribosomal RNA", at positions 75 to 790 of the family's 1533-position model. The record is from RNAcentral. Lineage: Bacteria; Bacillati; Bacillota; Bacilli; Caryophanales; Bacillaceae.